This is a long non-coding RNA of Chinchilla lanigera (long-tailed chinchilla), 585 nucleotides long. RefSeq lists it as uncharacterized. The transcript is spliced from 3 exons. The record is from RefSeq and is a predicted model, not a curated record. Lineage: Eukaryota; Metazoa; Chordata; Mammalia; Rodentia; Chinchillidae.
GAGCGGGGGCGGAGUCGGGAAGGCCACGCCCACCGCAGAGCAGGCCUUCCCCGGGCCUGGCCCCACCCCGGCCCCUCGCCCCCCGCCCCUUUUACGGUUGGCUCCUCCCUCGCAGGCUGGGCUCCUCCCAUUCUGCCCUAGUCCCCGCCCCUUCUCUCGACCCCACCCCUCCCCGACACCGCGCCCCGCCCCCUAGGACUCGGCCCCACUCCCGGGCCGGGCCCCGCCCUCCGCUCCUAGCCCCGCCCCCUCCCACCCCAACGGUCCCGGGGGUCUCGGGGUGCUCUGCUUCUGGCCUCGCGACCCUCGCCCUGCGCCCCGGGUCUCACCCAGGAAGUUCUGUGCCAGCAGUGCCAGCAGUGCCACCCACCCCGAACCUGCAUCGUGGGGUCUGCACUGUCAGAAACGAUGCUUCCCACUGCCAACCCCGAGAGCAACUAAAGCUGUCCAACCAUCGGGACAGAGGUGAGAGAGUGACCGCCGGGAACCCGCUCCUCCCUCAGCAAGGACAGCCGGCUGGGGUUCAGGGGCAGCGAGACCUGGCCAUCCACCGAUGUGGCCGCUGCCCGGGACGUCCCCGAGAGC